GACGAACGCUGGCGGCGUGCCUAAUACAUGCAAGUAGGACGCAGUUGCGAACGGGUGAGUAACGCGUAGGUAACUACCUAUUAGAGGGGGAUAACUAUUGGAAACGAUAGCUAAUACCGCAUACUAGUAGAUGGACAUGCGUUGUAUUAGCUAGUAGGUAGGGUAAUGGCCUACCUAGGCAACGAUACAUAGCCGACCUGGGGUGGUGAUAGGCCCAACUGGGACUCAGUAACGGCCAAGACUCCUCAGGGAGGCAGCACUAGGGAAUCUUCGGCAAUGGGGGGAACCGUGACCGAGCAACGCCGCGUGAGUGAAGAAGGUUGUCGGAUCGUAACGCUCUGUUGUUAAUGAAGCGGUACUUAACCAGAAAGGGACGGCUAACUACGUGCCAGCCGCCUCGGUAAUAC
Molecule: ribosomal RNA, 407 nt
Filed under: uncultured bacterium
Lineage: Bacteria
Description: partial 16S ribosomal RNA
Rfam family: Bacterial small subunit ribosomal RNA
Source: RNAcentral